GCCGGAGUGGCGGAACGGCAGACGCAGCGGACUCAAAAUCCGCCGGGGCAACCCAUGGGAGUUCGAAUCUCCCCUUCGGCACCA
RNAcentral lists this transfer RNA (84 nucleotides) under Chloroflexota bacterium. RNAcentral describes it as "tRNA-Leu". It matches the Rfam family "tRNA". From Rfam's summary of the family: Transfer RNA (tRNA) molecules are approximately 80 nucleotides in length. Their secondary structure includes four short double-helical elements and three loops (D, anti-codon, and T loops). RNAcentral also lists the same sequence under 2 other names. The record is from RNAcentral. Lineage: Bacteria; Bacillati; Chloroflexota.